ACCUGGGGAAACCCAGGCUAAUACCGCAUACGUCCUACGGGAGAAAGGGGGCUUCGGCUCCCGCUAUCGGAUGAGCCUAUGUCGGAUUAGCUAGUUGGUGAGGUAAAGGCUCACCAAGGCGACGAUCCGUAGCUGGUCUGAGAGGGAUGAUCAGCCACAUCGGGGACUGAGACACGGCCCGAACUCCUACGGGAGGCAGCAGUGGGGAAUAUUGGACAAUGGGGGGAACCCUGAUCCAGCCAUGCCGCGUGUGUGAAGAAGGCCCUCGGGUUGUAAAGCACUCUCAGUGAGGAAGAACGCCUGGUGGUUAAUACCCAUCAGGAAAGACAUCACUCACAGAAGAAGCACCGGCUAACUCCGUGCCAGCAGCCGCGGUAAUACGGAGGGUGCGAGCGUUAAUCGGAAUUACUGGGCGUAAAGCGCGCGUAGGUGGCUUGAUAAGCCGGUUGUGAAAGCCCCGGGCUCAACCUGGGAACGGCAUCCGGAACUGUCAAGCUAGAGUGCAGGAGAGGAAGGUAGAAUUCCCGGUGUAGCGGUGAAAUGCGUAGAGAUCGGGAGGAAUACCAGUGGCGAAGGCGGCCUUCUGGACUGACACUGACACUGAGGUGCGAAAGCGUGGGUAGCAAACAGGAUUAGAUACCCUGGUAGUCCACGCCGUAAACGAUGUCGGCCAGCCGUUGGGUGCCUAGCGCACUUUGUGGCGAAGUUAACGCGAUAAGUCGACCGCCUGGGGAGUACGGCCGCAAGGUUAAAACUCAAAUGAAUUGACGGGGGCCCGCACAAGCGGUGGAGCAUGUGGUUUAAUUCGAUGCAACGCGAAGAACCUUACCUACUCUUGACAUCCUGCGAAUUGGUAGAGAUACCUUAGUGCCUUCGGGAACGCAGAGACAGGUGCUGCAUGGCUGUCGUCAGCUCGUGUUGUGAAAUGUUGGGUUAAGUCCCGUAACGAGCGCAACCCUUGUCCUUAUUUGCCAGCGCGUAAUGGCGGGAACUCUAAGGAGACUGCCGGUGACAAACCGGAGGAAGGUGGGGACGACGUCAAGUCAUCAUGGCCCUUACGAGUAGGGCUACACACGUGCUACAAUGGUCGGUACAAAGGGUUGCCAACUCGCGAGAGUGAGCCAAUCCCGAAAAGCCGAUCUCAGUCCGGAUCGGAGUCUGCAACUCGACUCCGUGAAGUCGGAAUCGCUAGUAAUCGUGGAUCAGAAUGCCACGGUGAAUACGUUCCCGGGCCUUGUACACACCGCCCGU
This 1251-nucleotide ribosomal RNA is filed under the name uncultured Halomonas sp. RNAcentral describes it as "bacterial SSU rRNA". It matches the Rfam family "Bacterial small subunit ribosomal RNA", at positions 146 to 1397 of the family's 1533-position model. Lineage: Bacteria; Pseudomonadati; Pseudomonadota; Gammaproteobacteria; Oceanospirillales; Halomonadaceae. The record is from RNAcentral.